UAAAGAAUUAUCGCUGAUAGAUGGGCAUGCGUUCCAUUAGAUAGUUGGUGAGGUAACGGCUCACCAAGUCCACGAUGGAUAGGGGUUCUGAGAGGAAGGUCCACCACACUGGUACUGAGACACGGACCAGACUCCUACGGGAGGCAGCAGUGAGGAAUAUUGGUCAAUGGGCGAGAGCCUGAACCAGCCAAGUCGCGUGAAGGAUGAAGGAUCUAUGGUUUGUAAACUUCUUUUAUAUGGGAAUAAAGUGAGGAACGUGUUCCUUUUUGUAUGUACCAUAUGAAUAAGCAUCGGCUAACUCCGUGCCAGCAGCCGCGGUAAUACGGAGGAUGCGAGCGUUAUCCGGAUUUAUUGGGUUUAAAGGGUGCGUAGGUGGUUAAUUAAGUCAGCGGUGAAAGUUUGUGGCUCAACCAUAAAAUUGCCGUUGAAACUGGUUGACUUGAGUAUAUUUGAGGUAGGCGGAAUGCGUGGUGUAGCGGUGAAAUGCAUAGAUAUCACGCAGAACUCCGAUUGCGAAGGCAGCUUACUAAACUAUAACUGACACUGAAGCACGAAAGCGUGGGGAUCAAACAGGAUUAGAUACCCUGGUAGUCCACGCAGUAAACGAUG
RNAcentral lists this ribosomal RNA (609 nucleotides) under uncultured bacterium. RNAcentral's name for it is "bacterial SSU rRNA". It matches the Rfam family "Bacterial small subunit ribosomal RNA", at positions 202 to 811 of the family's 1533-position model. The record is from RNAcentral.